CCGAAGACGAGGAUAACGGGUGGAAACAUCCGCUAAUACUGGAUAGACUCUGGGGGUCGCACCGCAGAGUAAAGCUUCGGCGCUUCGGGAGGGGCCUGCGGCCUAUCAGCUAGUUGGUAGGGUAACGGCCUACCAAGGCAAAGACGGGUAGGGGGUGUGAGAGCACGACCCCCCACAAUGGCACUGAGACACGGGCCAUACUCCUACGGGAGGCAGCAGCAGGGAAUAUUGCACAAUGGACGGAAGUCUGAUGCAGCGACGCCGCGUGGAUGAUGAAGGCCCUCGGGUCGUAAAAUCCUUUUCAGGGGGACGAGGCAGGACGGUACCCUUGGAAUAAGCGUCGGCUAACUACGUGCCAGCAGCCGCGGUAAGACGUAGGACGCAAGCGUUAUCCGGAUUUACUGGGCGUAAAGCGUCUGUAGGCGGAUGGGUAAGUUGGGCGUGAAAGCUCCGUGCUCAACGCGGAGAGGUCGUUCAAUACUGCCGAUCUGGAGGUCAUCAGAGGGGCGUGGAAUUUCCGGUGUAGCGGUAAAAUGCGCAGAUAUCGGAAGGAACACCAGUGGCGAAAGCGGCGCCCUGGGGUGGACCUGACGCUGAGAGACGAAAGCUAGGGGAGCGAACAGGAUUAGAGACCCUGGUAGUCCUAGCUAUAAACGAUGGAUGCUAGGUGUGGGGUCGAGAAGACUCCGUGCCGGAGCCAACGCGAUAAGCAUCCCGCCUGGGGACUACGGCCGCAAGGCUAAAACUCAAACGAAUUGACGGGGCCCCGCACAAGCAGCGGAGCGUGUGGUUCAAUUCGAUGCUACACGAAGAACCUUACCUGGGUUUGGCAUGGAGGUGGUAGGGAAGCGAAAGCGGACCGACCCUUCGGGGAGCCUUCACAGGUGCUGCACGGCUGUCGUCAGCUCGUGCCGUGAGGUGUCGGGUUAAGUCCCGUAACGAGCGCAACCCUUGCCCUUAGUUACAAGUGUCUAAGGGGACUGUCGGCGGUAAGCCGGAGGAAGGUGGGGAUGACGUCAAGUCAGCAUGGCCCUUAUAUCCAGGGCUACACACACGCUACAAUGGUCGGUACAAAGGGCAGCGAAGCCGCGAG
RNAcentral lists this ribosomal RNA (1093 nucleotides) under uncultured organism. RNAcentral describes it as "bacterial SSU rRNA". It matches the Rfam family "Bacterial small subunit ribosomal RNA", at positions 131 to 1261 of the family's 1533-position model. The record is from RNAcentral.